Long non-coding RNA from Lolium perenne, 1348 nucleotides. RefSeq lists it as uncharacterized. The record is from RefSeq and is a predicted model, not a curated record. Lineage: Eukaryota; Viridiplantae; Streptophyta; Magnoliopsida; Poales; Poaceae.
ACACCUCUGAAGAAACUGAAGAGUGAGCCUUUUUCCAAUGAUUAGGGAGGGAAACCUCCCCGGUUCCAUUGCAUCAAUGAAAUAUUCGGUUAGUAGGAUUGCAAAAGGCACUUCUCAUGGUAUGAAUACAUGACAGAAUUCUCUGUUCUGAUUUCGUAUCUGCAUGUCCGUUACUCAAGCGAGAACAAAUUUGUGUCCUAGUUCCACAAUGUUCAGUUAUGAAAGUCUUCAAGUUGAAGUAUUUCCUCAUAAGUACUAUGGAAUAUUACAAAGGAAUAGUGAAAUAAAUAUCGAGAGAACUGAUUUUGAGUCUUAGAGCUAUAUGAUUGUGCAUCAGUGUUUCAUAUUUUCGUAAUGUAGUUAAGUUUGAUAUUGAAGCUUCACAAGUCUCCAUGGAGUUUUCACGGAGAAGGUAUUCUACGUAUAGAAUGGAGAUUGCACUUACGAAGAAAGGAAGCAACUGCUGUCCCAAUACCCAGAUAUACGAAGUUCAGCACAACCUGGAGAAAGAACAUUCGCUGUGAAUCGGGAAGCUACUCUUCAAGUGAGGUGAUCACUGUAGCCAUUGCGUACCUUGGUCACACGGCGGAGGACGUCGCUGCUGGUGCUCUCGCCGAAGGAGUUGAUGACGUUCCCAAAGAGCACCGAUAUGAGGGGCUCUGACACGCCGUUGCCUAUCGCCCCCAGCGUGCCAACCACCAUCAACAGCACAUCGAUGCGGUCGGCGUACCUGAACAUGCCAAACAACGACACCUUCUUGGCUUCGUCCUUCUCCUGCCGGCCAUCGUUUCCUCGCUCGCCGCUGCCAUGGCGUGCUCCUUCUCCACUACUAUCUGCUGCUACUGUCGCGUCCAUUUCCCGGCAGCUGGCUUCGAUGUGCUGUACGAGCCCGGCCGCAGUGGGUCGCGUGUAGUUCCUGUCCCCGGGGAGUGGUGGAGGCAACUAUUUAUACGCACUCUGCCGGCCUCCCGAAGUGCUUUGAUCAGCAAGGUAUAGUUGCUGGGUGCUUGGAAGCUGGAAGCGACCGGGAAAGUUUGCGAUGAAAAAGAAGCAUACACGAAUGAGCAACAAGUCAAGUGCUACGGGAUUAUUAACAUGUGAUUAUGGGAAGAUUCAGAACUACUAGUACAGGUACAGGUGCAACAAGUCAAGUGCUGCGUGUCUCUAGCUUUCUAUAGAACAGUCAAAUGGGUUGCGUUUCUCUUCUAAUCUCCUCACAUCAUGCGCUAGCUUACCUAGCUGGGCUCUCUAUGGUUCACAAACCAAUUGUUCUUGGUGGGGGAAAUGAGUGGACCGAUAGUAAGCUGAUAUGACUAUCGAAUAUGGAUUAUAAUAAACUUCAAAAAGG